RNAcentral lists this ribosomal RNA (478 nucleotides) under uncultured bacterium. RNAcentral's name for it is "partial 16S ribosomal RNA". It matches the Rfam family "Bacterial small subunit ribosomal RNA", at positions 28 to 507 of the family's 1533-position model. The record is from RNAcentral.
GACGAACGCUGGCGGCGUGCCUAAUACAUGCAAGUCGUACGGACAGGCGAUUAGCUGGCUUCUCUGAUGUUAGCGGCGGACGGAUGAGUAACACAUCGAUACCCUACCUUUGGGACUGGGAUAGCUUCGGGAAACCAGAACUAAUACCGGAUAAUAUUUUGAAGCGCGGGGUUCAAAAGUUAAGGACGGUCUUGCUGUCACUUAGGGAUGGAUCCGCGCUGCAUUAGCUUGUUCGUAGGGUAACGGCUUACCAAGGCAGCGAUGCGUAGCCGACCUGGGAGGGUGACCGGCCACAUGGAGACUGAGAUACGGCCCAGACGCCGACGGGAGGCAGCAGUGGGGAAUAUUGCACAAUGGGCGCAAGCCUGAUGCAGCAACGCCGCGUGCGGGAUGACGGCCUUCGGGUUGGAAACCGCUUUCAGCAGGGACGAAGCUUUUUGUGACGGUACCUGCAGAAGAAGCACCGGCUAACUACGUG